GUUGAUCCUGGCUCAGAAUGAACGUUGGCGGCGUGGAUUAGGCAUGCAAGUCGGUCGUCCCGCAAGGGACGAGGCGCAAGGGUGAGUAAGCGACGGCAACCAACCCCAUGAUUGGGUAUAGCCGCGGGAAACUGCGGGUAAUCCCCAGCGACGUCUCGAGGGCAUCUCCUUGAGACCAUAGGUGCGAUUCCGGCAUGGGACGGGCCGUCGUGGUAUCAGCUUGUUGGUGGGGUAACGGCCCACCAAGGCUAUGACGCCUACCGGGCGUGCGAGCGUGGCCCGGCACACUGGGACUGAGACACUGCCCAGACUCCUACGGGAGGCUGCAGUCGAGAAUCUUCGGCAAUGGCGCAAGCCUGACCGAGCGACGCCGCGUGGAGGACGAAGGCCUUCGGGUUGUAAACUCCUGUCGAGGGGGAACAAGACGCCGUGCAGAACGGCGUUUGAGUGAUCCCUGGAGGAAGCACGGGCUAAGUUCGUGCCAGCAGCCGCGGUAAGACGAACCGUGCGAACGUUAUUCGGAAUCACUGGGCCUAAAGCGCGUGUAGGCGGCCACUCACGUCAUCGGCUGAAAUCCGUCGGCUCAACCGGUACAGGGGCCAUGAUACGACCGGGCUGGAGGGGGGUAGGGGGGACGGGAACUCACGGUGGAGCGGUGAAAUGCGUUGAGAUCGUGAGGAACGCCCGCGGCGAAAGCGCGUCCCUGGACCCCACCUGACGCUGAGACGCGAAAGCCAGACUAGCGAACGGGAUUAGAUACCCCGGUAGUCCUGGCCGUAAACCAUGAGCACUGGGUAGGAUGCUCGCCGAUGGGCUCCCUGCCGCAGCGAAGGCGUGAAGUGCUCCGCCUGGGGAGUAUGGUCGCAAGGCUGAAACUCAAAGGAAUUGACGGGGGCUCACACAAGCGGUGGAGUAUGUGGCUUAAUUCGAGGCUACGCGAAGCACCUUAUCCCGGGCUUGACGUGCACGGAUUGGCCGGCGGAAACGUCGGUGACAUCACAAGAUGGAACGUGCACAGUCGCUGCAUGGCUGUCGUCAGCGCCGUGAGGUGUUGGGUUAAGUCCCGUAACGAGCGAAACCCCUGCCAGUAGUUGCCAGCGCGUCAUGGCGGGACUCUAAGGGGACCGCCGGCGUCAAGCCGGAGGAAGGCGGGGAUGACGUCAAGUCCUCAUGGCCCUAUGCCCGGGGCUGCACACGUACUACAAUGGGCCGGACAGAGCGACGCCAACUCGCAAGAGCGCGCCAAUCGCAGAAACCGGCCCCCAGUUCGGAUUGCGGGCUGCAACCCGCCCGCAUGAAGCCGGAAUCGCUAGUAAUCGCGGAUCAGCAUGCCGCGGUGAAUGGGUUCCUGAGCCUUGUACACACCGCCCGUCAAGCCACCAAAGCGGACCCGAAGUCGCCGACGGCUCACGCCAGGCGCCGAAGGUGAAACCCGUGAUGGGGACUAAGUCGUAACCUUUA
This 1461-nucleotide ribosomal RNA is filed under the name uncultured Singulisphaera sp. Its description in RNAcentral is "bacterial SSU rRNA". It matches the Rfam family "Bacterial small subunit ribosomal RNA". Lineage: Bacteria; Pseudomonadati; Planctomycetota; Planctomycetia; Isosphaerales; Isosphaeraceae. The record is from RNAcentral.